AUUGAACGCUGGCGGCAGGCCUAACACAUGCAAGUCGAGCGAGCGGCGGACGGGUGAGUAAUGUCUGGGAAACUGCCUGAUGGAGGGGGAUAACUACUGGAAACGGUAGCUAAUACCGCAUACCAUCAGAUGCGCCCAGAUGGGAUUAGCUAGUAGGUGGGGUAAUGGCUCACCAAGGCGACGAUCCCUAGCUGGUCUGAGAGGGUGACCAGCCACAUUGGAACUGAGACACGGUACAGACUCCUCGGGGAGGCAGCAGUGGGGAAUAUUGCACAAUGGGCGCAAGCCUGAUGCAGCCAUGCCGCGUGUAUGAAGAAGGCCUUCGGGUUGUAAAGCACUUUCAGCGAGGAGGCGUUACUCGCAGAAGAAGCACCGGCGAACUCCGUGCCAGCAGCCGCGGUAAUAC
This 406-nucleotide ribosomal RNA is filed under the name uncultured bacterium. Its description in RNAcentral is "partial 16S ribosomal RNA". It matches the Rfam family "Bacterial small subunit ribosomal RNA", at positions 30 to 526 of the family's 1533-position model. The record is from RNAcentral.